Non-coding RNA from Bactrocera oleae (olive fruit fly), 2295 nucleotides. NCBI's taxonomy places the organism in Eukaryota, Metazoa, Arthropoda, Insecta, Diptera, Tephritidae. The record is from RefSeq and is a predicted model, not a curated record.
GAACUCAAGAGUGAGUUAUAGUUAGACGAUUUAUCGAGAAAUCCGUUACCAUAGUUUCUAUUUUAUUUCACAAAACUGUACAUUUUUAUUGAUGCAUUAAACGAAGUUUAAUAUAUUAAUUAGUUUUAAACUUAAAUAUGACUUACGACAAUAAAUGUACAUAAACGAGGCACCUCCAUUUCACAUUUCAAGUAGUUAAACAAUAAAGGUAUUUGUUAAUAUUUGGUGGUAUAUCCAUUGUUUUUAUUCACGCAAAGUGCGCCCCUGACUCUCCUUGUCUUCGAUGCUGUUUUUGUUGUUGUAGCGGCAGAAUUCUGCCGAGAUGACAGUUCUUGACCGGAUAAAAUCUGGGUACGUUCCGGUUACGUAGACCCGACUGUCGUGGGAACGGCCUUGGCUUCGAUCGUUCCACAUGCUUCGUUCUAGCUGUUCUCCCAAAAAGCAAAAGUGAAGAGCUUGGAACAUUGUUUUUGCGGGGCAAGGAGAAGCAAGCAUCAGCGUACGUGUAUUUAUGAAAGUGUGUAUGCGUGAUAAUACGUGUAAAUACGCAUAAAUAAGGGAACAUUAAAUAUUUUAAUUAUCUGGCUAAAUCGACAAACUGAAAUAAUGAUAAACAUGUAAACAUAUAAAAUCACAUGCAGUGUGUGCUUAGAACUUAUAGAAGUAAUUAAAGAUUUAAUAUGAAUGGUAACUUUAUAUAGUUUUAAUAAUUUUAUGCCAUAACAUAUAUGUAUAGUGUCUAAUAUAAAACAAAUUAAAAUAAUAAUUUAAGUCGCUAAUAGGCCAUGUUGCCUAUUCUCCUUUCUGAAAGGAACAUUAGACAAAUUCUUCAAAUGUGGCUGUACAAAUUGAAAUUUUGGUUGAUUUCUUCAAUAUUACAAAUUCAUUUCAUUUUAUUUACCCAUAAUUUUUAUCAUCUUUAUCCUUUCCGAGUACGAAUUCCAUAUGAAACCAAAUUGUGGUUGACCAGGCGUACGGAAAAAAGAGCGAGACGCAGAGUUAUGAAUGAACGCAUUUUGUUUUGCAGCAGACGCACAUGCCUUAUGACUGAAUUCGUGGUCGUUAUAAUAUGAAAUACUUCGAAACUAUGCCGCAAGCUUGCUCGAAUCUUAUUGGUUGAUGAUGGUACUCGAAUAUUUAAUUUUUUGCAAAUAGCAUAUUGAGGGACAUACAUAUGUAUGUGUCUACAUAUGUGUACAAAUAUGAAAAUGAAUUUGCGUAUGCGCAUGAAGGAAAGGCAAUUUCGAGAAUAUUCACAUACAAAUUGCUCAUUUGAAAAAAGUACACGAUGAUAGCUGUUUGAACACACACAUUAAACUCGUUCGUCCAGAUGUCUGUGGUGCUGCUUGUAUAGCUGAUGAACGAGCUAAACAAUAUUGUCUUACCUCUGGUGGGAAACUAAAAUUGAUACACACUUCAUCUAAUGAGAACUAUUUCAUUCUAACUUUAUCUCAGUAUCUUAUAUACUAUUUUUAAAAUCUAUUUUAUCUAUUGUAAUUUAAUGUAUGUAUAUAUGUGUAUGUUUGUACGUAUUGUCACACGACACUCAAUGCAUGUGCGCGUGUGUGUACCUAUUUAGUUUACAAUUCCUGUAAUCACAUGCUACAUACAUCGGUGGUACACUAAUUAGCACACCCUCACAUAUUCCAAUAGUCCUGCUUGAAAAUUAAAGAUAACAGUAAUUUAAUUUUUUUUUUGUAUAUUCAUAAGUUGUUAUUUUGCCGUUAUAAAUCACGCGUUACUAAAAAUUUUGGGUUUAGUUUCAAAGAAGUAAGUUCGGUGGGGGAAGUGUUAUGGUGUGCGGUUGGUUUACGAAGCUUGGUGUUGGUCCUAUUGUGCAUAUAACGGGCAAGCUAGAUUCUGUAGCAUACCAGAAGUUGCUUGAAAAUUACCUCGUGCCGUUUUUGAAAGACUUACCGUUAUCUGCAUACACCACCGCAGUUUACCAAUAGGACAAUGCGCCCUGCCAUAAGUCGAGAUCAUUCCGUUGCUGAAUUGCCUGCCAGAGUCUAGACCUCAAUGCAAUGGAAAAUCCGUGGGCAAUAAUAAAAAGGCGAGUCAUGGCACUGAAACCGAAGACAGUGCACGAUUUAUGGGUAGUUAUUCAACAGGAAUGGCAGAAAAUUCCCAAUGACAUCCGAGAUGAUGUACAUCAGUAAUUUCCCAAAAUGGAUACCCAGCUAAAUUUGAUUCUCCCUCGCGGGAGGGUGUGCUAAAUAGUGUGCCACCCCUGUAUGUAUGCACCUCGCUAAGAUGUCUGUUUAUUAUUUUUUUAUGAAUUUUUAAGCUAUUGCA